CUUACCAGGACCAGAUGUUUUUUAUGACUGACAGGCUUCGGGUCUUUCAGGAUAUUGUUUUUGGUGGUGCAUGGCCGUUGGUGGUGCGUGGGUUGACCUGUCUAGCGUUGAUUCAGCUAACGAGCGAGAUUAUCGCCAAUUAUUUACUUUGCCGAAGUCCUUCGGUUAAAGUUCUAAUUGGGACUCCCUGCGAUUUUAGCAGGUGGAAGAGGGUAGCAAUAACAGGUCCGUGAUGCCCUUUAGAUGCUCUGGGCUGCACGCGUGCUACAAUGUUAGGAUCAAUAGGACUGCGAGCCUGAGAGGGUGCGCUACUCUUAUAAUCCCUAACGUAGUUGGGAUUGACGUUUGUAAUCAGCGUCAUGAACCAGGAAUCCCUUGUAAAUGUGUGUCAACAACGCACGUUGAAUACGUCCCUGCCCUUUGUACACACCGCCCGUCGCUCCUACCGAUUGGAUGACUCGGUGAAAUCACCGGAUGCUUACGAGCAGAAAGUGAUUAAAUCACGUUAUCUAGAGGAAGGAGAAGUCGUAACAAGGUAACGGUAGGUGAACCUGCCGUUGGAUCAGUU
This 568-nucleotide non-coding RNA is filed under the name Trichomonas vaginalis G3. RNAcentral's name for it is "Eukaryotic small subunit ribosomal RNA". It matches the Rfam family "Eukaryotic small subunit ribosomal RNA", at positions 1214 to 1831 of the family's 1831-position model. Lineage: Eukaryota; Parabasalia; Trichomonadida; Trichomonadidae. The record is from Rfam by way of RNAcentral.